ACAACAGCUCUCUCGAAUCAGAGGUUAAGCCAUAAGCUCAUUACGUCACGCUCCCUGACUCAAGGAAUGGUGGUAUGUUGGAUAGAUGGAUUGCCAUUCGCCGAUGAUGUUCUGUUCUCGACUUCGUCUCUGUUUACUAUUAUAAACUUUGUUUACUACUUCUGUUUUAAGUUGUUUAAUCCAUUUUUUGAUCUUUUGAUGCAUCACUUAGCUUGUUUUUUCUUA
Long non-coding RNA from Arabidopsis thaliana (thale cress), 225 nucleotides. RefSeq annotates it as other RNA. The record is from RefSeq. The transcript has a single exon. NCBI's taxonomy places the organism in Eukaryota, Viridiplantae, Streptophyta, Magnoliopsida, Brassicales, Brassicaceae.